This 218-nucleotide long non-coding RNA is filed under the name Elaeis guineensis (African oil palm). RNAcentral describes it as "long non-coding RNA (EGUI_LNC047387)". Lineage: Eukaryota; Viridiplantae; Streptophyta; Magnoliopsida; Arecales; Arecaceae. The record is from RNAcentral.
CGGUGUAGUGAUACUAGAGCGAGAGUGCAGAUGGUUGUUAGAGAAUAACUAGCAUUGAGCGUGACCAAUAUGAGAAGUCACAUGGAUGUUUGCACAUUCAUUAAUGACUUUCUCAAUGCUGUAGUUGUAUGACUGAUCUUUUGAUCUGAGAUGACACUAUUGCUCGCAGUGAGGCAGCUAGAGUUUGACUAAUACAUCAACAUGGGUCUCAAUGAGCC